AUUGAACGCUGGCGGCAUGCCUUACACAUGCAAGUCGAACGGUAACAGGUCUUCGGAUGCUGACGAGUGGCGAACGGGUGAGUAAUAUAUCGGAACGUGCCCAGUCGUGGGGGAUAACGCAGCGAAAGCUGUGCUAAUACCGCAUACGAUCUAUGGAUGAAAGCGGGGGAUCGCAAGACCUCGCGCGAUUGGAGCGGCCGAUAUCAGAUUAGGUAGUUGGUGGGGUAAAGGCCCACCAAGCCAACGAUCUGUAGCUGGUCUGAGAGGACGACCAGCCACACUGGAACUGAGACACGGUCCAGACUCCUACGGGAGGCAGCAGUGGGGAAUUUUGGACAAUGGGCGCAAGCCUGAUCCAGCAAUGCCGCGUGCAGGAUGAAGGCCUUCGGUUGUAAACUGCUUUGUACGGAACGAAACGGUGAGCUCUAAUAAAGACUUGCUAAUGACGGUACCGUAAGAAUAAGACACCGGCUAACUACGUGCC
This 484-nucleotide ribosomal RNA is filed under the name uncultured bacterium. RNAcentral's name for it is "bacterial SSU rRNA". It matches the Rfam family "Bacterial small subunit ribosomal RNA", at positions 30 to 509 of the family's 1533-position model. The record is from RNAcentral.